Molecule: ribosomal RNA, 1452 nt
Filed under: Staphylococcus pseudintermedius
Lineage: Bacteria; Bacillati; Bacillota; Bacilli; Caryophanales; Staphylococcaceae
Description: partial 23S ribosomal RNA
Rfam family: Bacterial large subunit ribosomal RNA
Source: RNAcentral
GACGCAGUAGGAUAGGCGAAGCGUGCUGUUGGAGUGCACGUCCAAGCAGUGAGAUUGAGUGUUAGGCAAAUCCGGCACUCUUAAGAUUGAGCUGUGAUGGGGAGAGGAACUUGUUCCUCGAGUCGUUGAUUUCACACUGCCGAGAAAAGCCUCUAGCUAGAAUAACGGUGCCCGUACCGCAAACCGACACAGGUAGUCAAGAUGAGAAUUCUAAGGUGAGCGAGCGAACUCUCGUUAAGGAACUCGGCAAAAUGACCCCGUAACUUCGGGAGAAGGGGUGCUCUUUGAGGUUCACGCUUCGAAGAGCCGCAGUGAAUAGGCCCAAGCGACUGUUUAUCAAAAACACAGGUCUCUGCUAAACCGUAAGGUGACGUAUAGGGGCUGACGCCUGCCCGGUGCUGGAAGGUUAAGAGGAGUGGUUAGCGCAAGCGAAGCUACGAAUCGAAGCCCCAGUAAACGGCGGCCGUAACUAUAACGGUCCUAAGGUAGCGAAAUUCCUUGUCGGGUAAGUUCCGACCCGCACGAAAGGCGUAACGAUUUGGGCACUGUCUCAACGAGAGACUCGGUGAAAUCAUAGUACCGGUGAAGAUGCCGGUUACCCGCGACAGGACGGAAAGACCCCGUGGAGCUUUACUGUAGCCUGAUAUUGAAAUUCGGUACAGUUUGUACAGGAUAGGUAGGAGCCUUAGAAGCGUGAGCGCUAGCUUACGUGGAGGCAUUGGUGGGAUACUACCCUAAUUGUAUUGGAUUUCUAACCCGCAGCACUUAUCGUGCUGGGAGACAGUGUCAGGCGGGCAGUUUGACUGGGGCGGUCGCCUCCUAAAGAGUAACGGAGGCGCUCAAAGGUUCCCUCAGAAUGGUUGGAAAUCAUUCAUAGAGUGUAAAGGCAUAAGGGAGCUUGACUGCGAGACCUACAAGUCGAGCAGGGUCGAAAGACGGACUUAGUGAUCCGGUGGUUCCGCAUGGAAGGGCCAUCGCUCAACGGAUAAAAGCUACCCCGGGGAUAACAGGCUUAUCUCCCCCAAGAGUUCACAUCGACGGGGAGGUUUGGCACCUCGAUGUCGGCUCAUCGCAUCCUGGGGCUGUAGUCGGUCCCAAGGGUUGGGCUGUUCGCCCAUUAAAGCGGUACGCGAGCUGGGUUCAGAACGUCGUGAGACAGUUCGGUCCCUAUCCGUCGUGGGCGUAGGAAAUUUGAGAGGAGCUGUCCUUAGUACGAGAGGACCGGGAUGGACAUACCUCUGGUGUACCAGUUGUCGUGCCAACGGCAUAGCUGGGUAGCUAUGUAUGGACGGGAUAAGUGCUGAAAGCAUCUAAGCAUGAAGCCCCCCUCGAGAUGAGAUUUCCCAACUUCGGUUAUAAGAUCCCUCAAAGAUGAUGAGGUGAAUAGGUUCGAGGUGGAAGCGUAGCGAUACGUGGAGCUGACGAAUACUAAUCGAUCGAAGACUUAAUCAA